UGCAUAGGUAUCAUACACAUACUUCUGAUAUUAUUUUAUUCUUAUCAGUACCUUGAAUAAAGCUGUUUCAUAAAAUUGGCGCAAGGGGCCUGGAAACGACAUUGUUACCUUGGCAACAAAAUUAGAAGUGUUUUUCCAUGCGUCUCAUCAUGUACAAUCAGUAUGCAAAAUUUCAUUUGAUUUGGGCCCAUAAUAACUGAGCUAUGCUUCAGUGUAGUAUUCAAUAAACAUACUUGCCCAGCUAAUGACGUCACACGUUGUGCUGAAUCAGCAAUUUAUAUUUUCACAUUUUUGCGUAUAACUUCGGAACUAGAUGAGAUAGAAUAGAGCAUUAAACGGCCAAUCGGCUUAUUUUUUCAUGCUCUUUCAGAUGAAGCAAUAAGAUAGAUGAAGCAAUUUUUGUUGCCAAUACCCUUUAAUCCUUGUUCUGAGGCAGCGGUCAGUUUUUCCGAUGUAGGACAAUUGACAGCCAGGACAGCUAAAUUUGUAUACAACACU
Molecule: non-coding RNA, 498 nt
Organism: Paramuricea clavata
Lineage: Eukaryota; Metazoa; Cnidaria; Anthozoa; Malacalcyonacea; Plexauridae
Source: the annotation of a GenBank genome assembly